GACGAACGCUGGCGGCGUGCCUAAUACAUGCAAGUCGAGCGAAGUUUUUCUGGUGCUUGCACUAGAAAAACUUAGCGGCGAACGGGUGAGUAACACGUAAAGAACCUGCCUCAUAGACCGGGACAACUAUUGGAAACGAUAGCUAAUACCGGAUAACAGUAUUUCUCGCAUGAGAGAUAUUUAAAAGUUGGUUAUGCUAACACUAUGAGAUGGCUUUGCGGUGCAUUAGCUAGUUGGUGGGGUAAAGGCCCACCAAGGCGACGAUGCAUAGCCGACCUGAGAGGGUGAUCGGCCACACUGGGACUGAGACACGGCCCAGACUCCUACGGGAGGCAGCAGUAGGGAAUCUUCCGCAAUGGGCGAAAGCCUGACGGAGCAACGCCGCGUGAGUGAAGAAGGAUUUCGGUUCGUAAAGCUCUGUUGUUAGGGAAGAAUGGAUAUGUAGUAACUAUACAUGUAAGAGACGGUACCUAACCAGAAAGCCACGGCUAACUACGUG
Molecule: ribosomal RNA, 499 nt
Filed under: uncultured bacterium
Lineage: Bacteria
Description: partial 16S ribosomal RNA
Rfam family: Bacterial small subunit ribosomal RNA
Source: RNAcentral